Molecule: ribosomal RNA, 495 nt
Filed under: uncultured bacterium
Lineage: Bacteria
Description: partial 16S ribosomal RNA
Rfam family: Bacterial small subunit ribosomal RNA
Source: RNAcentral
GACGAACGCUGGCGGCGUGCCUAAUACAUGCAAGUAGAACGCUGAAGGAGGAGCUUGCUUCUCUGGAUGAGUUGCGCACGGGUGAGUAACGCGUAGGUAACCUGCCUGGUAGCGGGGGAUAACUAUUGGAAACGAUAGCUAAUACCGCAUAAGAGUAGAUGUUGCAUGACAUUUGCUUAAAAGGUGCAAUUGCAUCACUACCAGAUGGACCUGCGUUGUAUUAGCUAGUUGGUGAGGUAACGGCUCACCAAGGCGACGAUACAUAGCCGACCUGAGAGGGUGAUCCGCCACACUGGGACUGAGACACGGCCCAGAAUCCUACGGGAGGCAGCAGUAGGGAAUCCUCGGCAAUGGACGGAAGUCUGACCGAGCAACGCCGCGUGAGUGAAGAAGGUUUUCGGAUCGUAAAGCUCUGUUGGAAGAGAAGAACGAGUGUGGGAGUGGAAAGUUCACACUGUGACGGUAUCUUACCAGAAAGGGACGGCUAACUACGUG